UUCAUUUGGAUUUUUUUUGCUGUUUUUUUUGUGUAUUUUUUAAAACUUUUGUUUGUCAUUUGUGAACUUUAUAAACUUACCACAAUGCAAAGUGAUUAUUUAAUGAAAUUAUUAUUGGAACCUCCAGAUGUUGGAGAAAGAUAUUGAUUGAAGCUGAAAAUAAUUGGACAUUUAGAUAUUCCACCAAUUACUAUUAUAAUGCUAUUAUAGAUAUCUGGUGGAGUCUCACAGUUACUACUUUAAACAGCAGAUGAAAGCAUACAAAAGCCUUCAGGCACAUAAGAGCCUUUACAACUGGGUUUGUUUUGAAAGUUGGAGUAAAAAUUGUUAAUGAUUUCUAUAUUAUUGUUGGAAAGGUGAAGCAUUCCCCAAAAGUUAACGCUAAACCACUAGAUGCUUGGGUGAUAGCCAGUUCCAAUGGCAUAGCAAAUGCACAUAUUAUGUGUAUGGCCGGUAAUAGUGAAGUUUGCAGCCAUAUUGCAGCAAUCUUAUUUGCAGCUGAGUAUGCCCACAGCAAGACAGAAGAAGAAGCCAAUGCAUGUACAG
Diabrotica virgifera virgifera (western corn rootworm) is the source of this 546-nucleotide long non-coding RNA. RefSeq lists it as uncharacterized. The record is from RefSeq and is a predicted model, not a curated record. NCBI's taxonomy places the organism in Eukaryota, Metazoa, Arthropoda, Insecta, Coleoptera, Chrysomelidae. The transcript has 3 exons.